AUUGAACGCUGGCGGCAGGCCUAACACAUGCAAGUCGAGCGGAUGAAGGGAGCUUGCUCCUGGAUUCAGCGGCGGACGGGUGAGUAAUGCCUAGGAAUCUGCCUGGUAGUGGGGGAUAACGUCCGGAAACGGGCGCUAAUACCGCAUACGUCCUGAGGGAGAAAGUGGGGGAUCUUCGGACCUCACGCUAUCAGAUGAGCCUAGGUCGGAUUAGCUAGUUGGUGGGUAAAGGCCUACCAAGGCGACGAUCCGUAACUGGUCUGAGAGGAUGAUCAGUCACACUGGAACUGAGACACGGUCCAGACUCCUACGGGAGGCAGCAGUGGGGAAUAUUGGACAAUGGGCGAAAGCCUGAUCCAGCCAUGCCGCGUGUGUGAAGAAGGUCUUCGGAUUGUAAAGCACUUUAAGUUGGGAGGAAGGGCAGUAAGUUAAUACCUUGCUGUUUUGACGGUACCAACAGAAUAAGCACCGGCUAACUUCGUG
Molecule: ribosomal RNA, 483 nt
Filed under: uncultured bacterium
Lineage: Bacteria
Description: partial 16S ribosomal RNA
Rfam family: Bacterial small subunit ribosomal RNA
Source: RNAcentral